UCGUUACUACAACACUCUCCGGUUGAACAUGAUGUACCAUCAGCUUGCCGUCCGCACCAACAUUGACUUUGACAAUGUCCAGGAGCACAAUAUUCUUGUGUGGUUCCACACUUACCAUCGUUACUACAACACUCUCCGGUUGAACAUGAUGUACCAUCAGCUUGCCGUCCGCACCAACAUUGACUUUGACAAUGUCCAGGAGCACAAUGUUUUGUUGUGUUUCCACACCAACCCCACGUACUACAACACAUUCCAUUAAGACAUUUUACGCCUGGAUUUUCCUUUCCACAUUGAACACCUUGUUCAAGGCCAAAGAUUGGGAGUUCAAAGGGAAGAGAUAGCUCAUCCUCAUCGGCUAACACCAACUUAAGGAGGAACAAAACCAGUAGAGCUAAGUUCAUUUUGUUAUAGACGAAGGUGAAUCAAUUGGUUUCAUAUUUAUACCAAAAUUAUGAGGGAACAAUCGAUAGCGACUAAUAUAUAUAUAACUAAAAAGCAACAAAUGAGAAUAGUAUUUCCUUCCGUUUGUUUUUACUUAAUCACCAUACUAAAAAUGCUAAUUUAAUUUGUGAGUUUCAAACCUUUCACUAUUUUCUCUCAAAUGAAAAUAGGUUGCAGUCUCAAAUUUUAAUGGAAAUAUAAAGUGAAAGAAUGAAGUCGAUCGGAAGAAGAGCUAAACUAAAGUGGAAAACCUAAUAUGUUUUUGCAUUCUCAUUCACCUCAUCAUAACUACUUACUUUAUUUUAAUGUAUUUAUCUCAAUUUUCAUUUUAGUUGAUUAUAUAUUUAAAAUUUAUAUAAAAUAUAAUACUGCAUAUUACAAUAGUUAAUAAUUUAAAAUAUUUAAAAAUAAUAUAAAAAAUUAGGUUGACUUUCCAAAUUUUAUUGUGCCAUAUAAAUUGGAAGGAAAGAGUAACAUACAUGAAUUAAAAAUUACAUAAAAAUGCUAUAAAUUAUAAUAAUUAAAAUUUAAAAUAUAUUUAAAAAACAUAUUAAAAUUUAAUUGAAUCUUUAAAUUUAAUCAAUACCUCAUAGAAAAUAACAUAUAUUGAGCUCACGGAAAUUCUGUAUAUAGUCCUCAAUAUGUUGAAGUAGGAUAACCAAUUAACACAGAAUAAUUAAUAAGUGAUAAGUACGAGAUGAUAAUACGUGAAACCAAAAGAGAGAAAUUAGAACUAAAGCGAAUAAAGAUCAUAAGACCCAAACAUGAAAUGUGAAUCAUCAUGCCCAAGGAAUUUAUUAAGAAAAAAAAAGACGAAAGUCUAAAAUCAAGUUACCCUUCUAUAUGUAUUUAUGGAAAAUUAUUUUAUGAAAAGAGAUUUAUUUUUUUAAAAUUUGGAUAAGGCAUGAUUUUCUCAUAAAUUGACAUUUUAAUUAUGUUUCAUAUUUAAAUACACAUAAUUAGAUAUAUCUGUUUAGCAUGUAUUUGGGAUAAAAAUAUAAAAAAAAAAACUGUAUUAUCAAAAAUUCAUUUAAAAAUAAAUAAUUGGCUUCAAAUUAGUGAUAUUCGUAUUGUUCCUUGAUAUAUUUGUGGGGAUGCAAAAAAAAGUUCAACUUUUAGGGUACAUCAAUAAGUAUUGCACUCUUCUACGUGCUAAUAAUAAUUGAAUUCUCAUUUUGGAUCAUUGUUUUAAAAAACUUUUUUCUUAUGUAUAUUCACAGAGGAAGAUUCUUCAGGUAAAAAAUAAAAUGUGUGAAAGUUCCUAAAAGAAAUAAUUUGUUAACCCAACCUAAUAGAAACACGUGACGAAAUCCUACGGAGAGACCCGUUUGACCAAUUAAUUAAACCCAAAAUUUAAAAACCAACCCAUUUUAAAAUAAACCCACCCGAAACCCUUUGACCCAAAUUAAAACACCCAGCUCCAAACCAGCUUGCCACCACCAAAACCCCGCCGGAAACACCUCCACGAACCAGACCCAUUUCACCAUUAGCCAUCAGGAAUCACCAUUGAAUCAACCUCCAUUUUCCAGCAAACGAAGCCAAAAUCGGACCCCAAACCAGUGACCAUCGAUACCCCUCCGCCUCAAGCCGAGCAGCAAGCAACAACCAAACAAAAGUCCAACCAAAAGUCACCAUAUCGCCGUAAAGCAGCCGGCGAGCUCGAAACUCGGAGCUCAGGCGAACAGCAACGAAACCCAUAUCCAGCCAGCAAGCUCAAAGCUCCAACUAAACAACUCUGGCGAAGCUCAAAGCUUCAGCAAUUUCCAACAACAGCAACCACCGGCGUGGCUCCAACUCCGAUAAUCUCUUUCACGUCAUUUUUCUUUUCAGAUCUUGCCGGUGGGGUUCAAACUCCGGCCAUCGUUAUUGUUAUUUUAUGAUUUUUAAUUACUAAUAAUUUUUCGGUGAACAUUGUUCUUUCUUCCCGUUUUAAUUGCUGUUGUUUAGGAUCUUGACUUAUUUUAGUGUGAGUGUGAUUUUCUGUUUAUCUAUUAUAUGUAGAUCAUGCAAGAAUAUGCAUUGUUGCAGGGGAAAUGAAAUUUAUGAUAACAACAACAUGAUGAAUUCCCUUUGCAUUAUCCUAAUGUGUUCUCUCACUCAGGCCUUGCAACAAAUGAAGACCCAAGACUUUCAAGAAUUAUCAAAAUCGUGUCUCUAUUCUAGACUAUAUGGUAGCCUUUGAAAGUUGUGUUUUUUCUGUGUAAAGGUCAUAAGAUUUGAAGGAUUUAGAGAGACCAUUAGCCUUGGCAGGUUCAAUUUGUAUGGAUUUAAGAAGAUGUGUGUUUUAAUUUGGUUUCGGGUGGAUUUUAAAUAAAAAUGGGUCGAUUUUUAAAUUUUAGGUCUAAUUAAUUGUCAAACGGGUCCCUCCGUAGAAUUGCGCCACAUGUCUUUAUUUGGUCUUUCGUUAGAGAGAAGGAUAAAUACGCUCUAAUUUUUGGACGACAGGAACACCAAUAUCCCAAAAGUAUGACGGAGAAUAUCUGCAUACUAUUUAUAAUAGUUCGAGAGUAUAUUUGUCCCUUUUCCCUUUUUUUAAAGUCAGUUAGAAAAGUAUAACUCUAAUAUAAAUGCAGCUGCAGUGAGUUGAUGAGAAAUAACUUCUCUUUCUAUAUUAUAGGUGUUACUCUUAAAUGUUGUACUAUAUAAUUUAAAUAUUUAUUUAUUGAGAAAAAGACUCAACAAUAAAACGAGUAGUUGUGAUGAAGAGUUUAUUUAGAGUUUAAAUUAUAUAUAUUAUUAGUGUAAUAUAAGUAACACUAUAUAUAUUAAAUAUUUAAAUUCAUUUAUUAAAUGAAAGAGGGGCAAAAAUAUCCGUAUCAUAUGAAAAAUGAUUUACAAGUAUAAAAAUAUAUACCUCAACUUAUAUUUUGGUUCAACAAUAUCCUCAAACUUAACACAAAAAAUAUAAUGACUUUUUGCGAUAUAAAAUAAGCCACAUAUCCAAAGUUUGCAAAUUAACAUCUUAUGACAGUUCUUUAAGAUGCAAUAUAAUUAAAACAAAAGCUUGAGUAUAGAACAAACUUAAAUAAUUACCGCUAUGGGAUAUAACAAACGUUAGCUCGUCCUUGAUUAAUUUUCUAGCUGCUCGAUUAGUAUUUUAGUACUAUUCAUGGUUAGUUAUAAUAAGUUACGUGGCUAUUUUAAAUUGAGAAAAAUCAUCAGAUGAGUGUUAAGUUUGAGGGAUAUGUUUGAGUCAAAAUAUAGAUUGAGGUAUUUUUAGACCAAAAUAUAGUUAGAGGAUGUUUAUGAAUUUUUUCAAAGAUUAGAGAUAUUUUUGGCCUUUUUUUGUUUUGUUUAUAAAAGGUACUAUAAUUGCAAGAUUAUUUUUCUACUAGUAUUUGUUUUCUUAAACUUUUGGGCAUGUACGUGCCAUUAAUUUAUCGUGAGUAUGCAAGAAAAAAACCUCCACUUUUAUUGGGUAUACCUUGUUAUGAUUGUACUAUUUUUUAUUUUGGUUUUUUAUUUGAUGUUCGGUGUCCAUAUUAGAGCUUGAUUAUUCUGGAUUCGCGUUAUGUAGGGCCCUAUUUUGGGGGAAACACUUCCUACCAAGGUUAUUCCAUACUCCUGGCUCGGAUCCAGAACCUCUGGUUAAGAAGAGCAACCUCAUUCGCUGCACCAGUGGUAUGAUUGUACUAUUCAAUAACUGAAUUCUCAUUUUUAAACUUCUUUUUUUCUUCCGUUAAUUUACAAGUUAUGCUAAAAAGUAUUUGAGAAUACUAUUUGAUCUAUUGAUCCUUCUGGAAUGGAAAUAAAUUAAAACUGUUUUUUUGACAUUUGUCUUCUGUUUACAAAUGAGGAGAAGUGUUUAAACAAUUGAAAUUAUUUUCUAAUUAAGAAAAAAUCCUCUUAGUGUUUGGUUGAAAACAAUUUAGAUACUGAAACAAGAAAAUAUAUUAUGAUACUAAGUAAAUAAUCAUCCUUUUUAUAUUCAAGUGAGAGAAAAUGACCAAAAUGGUCCUUGAUAUAUGGGUAAUGUUUUAGUUUAGUCCUUAAUAUAUUUCACUUGAUUGAAAUAGUCUCUAAUGUAUAAUAACAAUGUUCAUUUUGAUCCUUAAUAUAUUUCACUUGAUUGAAAUAUAGUUCUUAAUGUAUAAUAAGAAAAGUGUCCAUUUCAGUCCUUUAUCCUAAAUUUAACAAAUUUAUCAAAAAAAAAGUGCUAAAUAUAACUAUGAACUCUACGUGGCUAACAAAAUUCACCAUAAUUGUCUUCUUUGUUAGCUUUAAAGAAAGAACUUCAUAACUUCUAAUACGAUUUUUUCUACUUUCUCCAACAUAAUUUACUAUUUUCAAUUUCCUAAAAUAUUAUUCCACUGCCCUAAUAUAAUACUCAUUUAUGUUUUAAGCAAAAGAGAAAAUUAUAAAUUUUACUAGAGAAAGUAAAGACAAUUGUGUUAGAUUUUAUAAAGUUUUUCAUCAGAGCUAACAAAGAAGACAAUAAUGAUGGUUCUUGUUAGCCACAUCGAGUCCAUAGUUAAAUUUAACAUUCUUUUUAAUAAAUCUGGUAUGUUUAGGGUAAAUGACUAAAAUGAAUAUUUUUGUUAUACAUUAAGGAUUAUGUCAAUCAAGUGAAACAUAUUAAGGACCAAAAUGAACACCUUCAUUAUACAUUAAGUACGAUUUCAAUUAAGAGAAAUAUAUGAAGGACCAAAAUAAAACAUUACUCAUACAUUAAGGACCAUUUUGGUCAUUUUCUCUCGACAAGUUGCUUAAUUUUAAUAUAUCACAUUGAAUAUAAAAGGACGAUUUCCAGCUGGGAUCAUUGACAAUUCGUUGCUUCAUUAACGUUGUAGUACAUUUAAGUGGGCCGUAUUCGUUGCUUCAUUAACGUUGUACUACAUGUAGCUCACAAUUCACAAAUCACAUAAAAAUGUAAUAACAUUAGAUAAGCAUGAUGUGAUAAAGCUCGAAUGUCUAAAUUGACAAUGUACAUAUCAUAAACUCAUUUAUUAAACGAAAGAACAUUAAAAUAUUUUUCAUCCACCUUUUAAUCUAAAAAUACUAUCAACUUAUAUUUUGACCAAAACAUAAAAACCACUCAAACUUAACACACCCAAAAUUUGAAAACUAAUUUAAUUUAAAAUAGACCCAUAACCUAUUAAGUUAUUAUGAUUAACCAUGUAUAAUACUUAACUUAAAAAUUAAACCCACCCACUUUUCAAACCCAAACCCGCUGACCCGUUUGAACAAAUCCGGAUUAAAAUUCGAGACUAAUUGUAGAGUUGUAGUUAUUAUUAUAUUAAGGACUAGGAAUGGACCUCAUUUCCUUUCCCUAUUCCGCCAAAGAAGAAAAACAAUCCAGAGCUUUUGCAUACUAAAUUUGCAAAUUACGUUUUAUGACAGUGCUUUAUGGAGUUUGAUUUCAAAACGGACACUUUUUUUAUACCAUAUAUCAAAGGAAUCAUUUCUAAAACUACAAAUCAAAACGGACAUUUUGCCCACAAAUAAGCGAACUACCUUACCACGGUUCACUCUGUUACUUCCACAACAAAAUGAGAUUAGCCCAUAAAUGAGUGAACUACAAUUCAUUUUUUUUCUUUUUCCUUAUAAUUUUUCACGUGAAUGAAUAUCUUUUCUAAAUUUUAAGUGUAAUGUCAUGUCUAUCUAAUACAUAAAAUCUUGAGCUUUUUCAACGAUAAAUAAUUAAAUAUGUGUUCUUAUUCACUUCAAAUUUUCUCAUUCAUCUUUUGUCUGCUUCUACUAAUAAAAUAUUUUGAUCUUGAAAAUCGCUAGUCAUGUAUCAACAAUCUCAAAGGUCUGUAUACUUUUUUAUUUUUUUACUCCUCCUCAUAUGCUCCUAUCUUUGCUCUGUUGAUGACUCGAACUUACUACCUUAAGAUUGAAAGUGAAGAACUUAGCUUGAAGUUAAACAAUCAAGCAAACGUUUCCUGAGAUUCUUGAAUUAGUUUCUUGAAAUCUCUAUGGCCAAGAAUUAUGAUUUUCAUUAGUGAUUCAUAAUUGUACGGAGGAAUUUGAAUUGAAAAGAAGGAAUUCUUGGAGAAGAACUUACCUUGAAGAAGAAUGUUGAAAAAGAUGGAAAGAAUCUUGAAUGAAGUCUUCUACUUUGAUUUUUUCUUAGGAUUUUGCCUUAGGGUUUGAGAGAGAAGAGAAUGAUCUAUUAAGACAUGAAAAUCUUAUUGUUUUGGGUCUUUAAUUAGUCAAGAAAUUCGUUUAGGAUUUUCAUUGAGGUAAAAAGACAAAAACGAUCCUUUUUAAAUGGUCAUAACUUUUUACUCAAAAAUUUGAUUGUUGCGAAAUUGGUGGCGUUGGAAAGAAGAUUCAAAUACCUUUAAUUUGAUAAGUUAUAGGACACGUUACUCUUUAUAUUCUAAGAGAUAUGGUCGUUUAAAGUUGACUCAAGUAAAAUCUUACAUCAAAACUUAACAUUAAGGAAAUUACUUUCAAUUUUUCUAGAAGUUGUUAGUUACGUUAAUUAAUAUCCAAAAUCAUUCUCACACUAAAGAAUUUACCUUUACACAUAUGGGCAAUUUAAGAAUCACCCGAUAUGACCCUUCAAGUAAAUGAAGAAUGGUUCGAAUCUUAACUUAGAAAUUUUUGGGGUGUUACAUCAUAUCCUCAAUAUAGUAACAGUCAAUACACCAAUGCAAAUGAAAAGUCUUAAAGCGUGUUGAAAUUAGAGAUUAAAUUGCGCUCAAUUGAAGAUUCUUUUUAAAUGAUUUAAGGCUUGAAUGAGUUUAGAUUGACUUAAUUCAAAUUAUCUUGAGCCCAACUUAUUAAAUUCGAAGCAAGUUACCUAUAUUUAGGGGCCGUUUGGUACAAACAUUGAUAAUGCAGGGAUUAUUUUUUGUCAAGUGUUUGGUUCACUACUUUCCACUUAAUUUUGUGUUUGAUUUAAAACUCUACAAAAAAUUUCUUUCUUAUUAUACCCUUGUGUUAUUAUGAGUGUUUAUUUCAUGUAAUUGAGUCAAGGUAGAUAACCGAAGGACCUGACUUUUUUUUUUGUAGGAUUUUCUAUUCCAUAGUUAAAUCAAAUAUAUAUAUAUAUAUAUAUAUGUGUGUGUGUGUGUGUGCGCGCGCGCGUGCAUGCGUGCGUUCAUGUGUGUGUAUAUACAUAAAAUUGUUAUUAAUUAUAAGGUGUGAUGUGCUACUAAGAAGAUCAUUAAUGGCACGAUGUAUUUCUAAUUUUUUGUUGGUUAAGUAUAUCUUAAUCUUAACAUAGAUUUAAGACUACAUAAAUUGUUCAAUACCUAAAGCUUUUUUUAAAAAAAAAAAAAACAAAUAGUUCAAACAGGUAAUCGACAAACUAUCUUGAAUAAAAAAAAAAAUCAAGAAAAAAUGGAGAAAAAAUAUAUUAGUGAAAUCAUUAAAUUACACUAAACAGAUUUGGAGAAUUAAAAAAGAACAUUUAUAACCAUUCCAAUAUAAAUAAAAAGGAAAUUAAAUUACAAAAUAAAUUUAGGAAAAUGAAUAAGGGGUUAGUUUAGUCAUUUAGGGGUCUUAUCUACGUUUAACAAACCUUGAAUUAGUUAUCCCUCCAUUUUCUAGGGAUAAGAUAAGACCACAUAUGGUGGAUAAGCAAUCCAUGGAUUAAAAUUAAAUAGAAGUAACCAAACAAUGUAUUAGAUGGACUAAAUUUUAAUCCAUAGAUUAUUCUAUCUAAUACCACCUACCAAACGGGUCCUUAAUAUAUAUACACUUUAUAUGACUUUUGAUUAUUUUUAUAUGACUAUAGUUAUAACAAUCUUACUUUAUUAUAUAUAUUUAAAACUAAUAGCAGUCAACACCACGGACUUCCUUCAAUUUUGAUUUAUUUAUGGGCUCAACAAAAUGGGCUGGUAGAAGUUAGAGCCACUUAUUUGUUCUUUUCCAUCAAAGUUUUGCAAGAUGGAAAAUCCCAAGUAAGGAUUACUUAUCCCUCACCCCAUUAAAAAAAUAUGUAGAUAACAAUAAAUGCUGAUAUUUUAGGCGUACCACGUCACUAGAUCUAGAUAGAGAUAGAUAAGUUCAUACUAUGCAUUAAUAAUAGGAAACUUACAUAAAUAUACUAUAUUAAGAAAAUAUUUAUCAUUUAUAUCAAUAACCGUUUUUUUCACUUGAUCACUUUUAAUACAUUUAUAAAACAGUUUUAAUACAUAUUUCAAAGAACAAUUUAUUAUUCACAUAUAAUACAAAUUUUAUUGAUGGUUACUACCUUUAUCACACAUUUUAAUACACUUAUAAUACAAUGUGUUAAUUUCUUACUAAAUAAACAUAAUAUAUUUUUAAAAACAGUUAUAAUACAUCUAUAUUGCAUACAUAAUUCACUUUCAAUACAUAUUGCAGAUUUAACAUAGUAUUGCUAUAAAUGGUAAUAAAUAAAAAAUAUAGCUAAAAUCAAUAAUUAUUUAUCGGAAAAGGGUAAAAAAUAUCCUUGAACUAUUCGAAAAGGUUCAAAUAUACCCCUCAUCCACCUAUUGGUUAAAAAUACCCCCAGUUCACCUUUUUGAUCCAUUUUUACCCUAAAAACUAACACCUUUUUAUUUUUUAAUUAUUUUUAUUAAUGCUAAUUACAUGGCAUCUUCCUAUUGGAUAAAACUAAAUUCCAACCCAUUAGAUUUUCCUCUACCCACUGACCCAUAUCCAUAGCCCAUAACCCAAAACCCAAUUUAAAAACCCAUUAAAAAUAAAGGAUAUAUUUUAUUUUUUUUGAUGAUAAGGGAAAUCCGCAGCCUCUACCCUUUGGGUGCGCACAGGGUAAAAUCCCCGCUCCUAUGCAAUAGCUCGCAAACCACAUAGGGGAGGUAACCCGCACUAGGCAAGCCCGGUGCGACGAGCUCGACCCAGAAGGCAAACCCCUUGCUUUCGCUGGCAAGGGGUUUCGAACUUGAGACCUCCAACAUGCAUGGAAGUCCCAAGCCCAAACUACUGGGCCAUCCCGAAGGGUUUUAAAAAUAAAAAUAAAUAAAUAAAUAAAUAAAGGAUAUAUUAAUCUCUCUUUCUCCAUUAAUCCUAAUAGCUUCUUGCAGGAAUGAAAAUUGUGUACCAAAAAAAUUUACAUGAAAAACAAUAUACUACACUUAGGGUGUGUUUGGUAUGAAGGAAAAUGUCUUCCAUGAAAAAUGUUUUUCUAGAAAAUAUUUUCCUGGAAAACAAGUAGAUUUUUUACUUAUUUUCUCAUGUUUGGUUGGUGAGUAGAAAAUUAUUUUCGGAAAAGAUUUUGUGUUUGGUUUUAGAAUGAAAAAUGUUUUUGAGAAAUAUCUUUUAUUUUUACUAGAGUAGAAAAUAAUUUUUGAAAUUGAAAAUAUUUUUUAAAAACAAACUUAAAUUUUUUUGGGGUGGGGGGUGGAGGGUGGUAGGGCGUGGGGGGUUGAGGAUAGGGAUGAAAAUUUGAAAUUUUGAAGUUGAAAAUAUUUUUUAAAAACAAACUUAAAUUUUUUUUGGGGNNNNNNNNNNNNNNNNNNNNNNNNNNNNNNNNNNNNNNNNNNNNNNNNNNNNNNNNNNNNNNNNNNNNNNNNNNNNNNNNNNNNNNNNNNNNNNNNNNNNNNNNNNNNNNNNNNNNNNNNNNNNNNNNNNNNNNNNNNNNNNNNNNNNNNNNNNNNNNNNNNNNNNNNNNNNNNNNNNNNNNNNNNNNNNNUUUAUUUUUUGGGGGGAUGGGAGGUUGGGGUGGGUGGCGGGGUUGGAAGAGAGUUUUGGAAAAUGUUUUUCUUAAGUUUUGAAGGGAAGUCAUUUUCCUUAAAUUUGAGAAAAAUGAAUUAAUUUGGAAAAUAUUUUUCAAAACAUUUAACCCAACAAAACAUGAGAAAAUUGGAAAAUAUUUUCCUUCGUACCAAACACACCCUUAAUAUCAAUGAUCACCCACAUGCCUUGGUACAUAAUUAAUCAAUUGAUAAAAAGAGGUUAGCUAACAACUGUAUUUGGGCAUAAUAUUAUGAUAGUUUACUUUCUCCCUGCACCACGGACAACCAAGAACACCACAACUUCUUUUAAAAAAUUGACAGAGACAUGGAUUGCUGAUACGUGGUUUUUAAGAAAGAAACAUAUACAUCAAAUUAAGUUGCUUGAUUCUUUAACUUGGUUCUGAAAUAGCUUCUUCUUUUUUUCACAAUCUUCAAAAGCCAGAAUAAGUUGCUAUUUAUUAGAAGAGUUGCCAUAAAGUCACCUUGAAACGUUAUCAUUACAGCAAAGUUAGAAAAAUACACAAAAAUCAAUCUUAAUCAACUUCAAGCUUUCACAACAGUUGAAGUAGCUGAAAAUGUUGAUGGGUGGUUCUGAAUUAGCUUUAGUGAGAAAGAGAAGUAAAGGGUCUUUCAUUGAGUUUGGGUCAUGGGGCUAUAGCUAUGGGUCGGGGCGGAUGAAGGACAAUUUAAUGGGUUGGAAUUUAGUAUUAUCCAAUUAGAAGAUGCCACGUAACAAAUAAUAAUAAAAAUAAUUAAAAAAUAAAAUGGUGUUAGUUUUAAGGAUUAAAAUGGAUCAAAAAGGUAGACUGAGGGGUAUUUUUAAGAGCAACUUUCACAUAUAGCAAACACAAAAUUCAUAUUUGUAUGCUAUAGCAAAGUUUGCAUAAUUGCGCUCCAUAGCAAACAUGCUAUGACUAGGCUAUUUCGCUAUACAUAUAUACAAAAGAAGCAAUUGUAUAAUUCGUUGGUUCCUCUUCAAAUUUGUAUAAUUUCGCUGGCAGACCAUUUGUAUAUUGUUGUCAGCCUCUCGUUUGUAUAAAUUGUUGAGAGUCUCUCAAUUUAAGUUUAUGUGUUUGUAUAUCUGUAUAAAAUUUGAAUUUGUAUACAAUUGAAUCAAAAUAAAGCGUUUGUAUACCAAAUAUCGUUAUCUUUCUCGCUUUAUACAAACAUAAAUUAUGCAUUGUAUUUUGUAUAAUCUGUGUUUGUAUAAAGUGAGAAACAGAGAAAGGCAAAAGAGAACUAGACAGGGAAAUAUUUGUAUUGUACAAUUAUAAGUGUAUAGGACGAAGAUAUAUGUAUUUGCAUGUGUAUAUACAAUUUUCUCUCGCUUUAUACAAACAGAAACACAAUUUAUACAUUUCUAUUUGUAUAAAGCGAGAGAGGUGAGCGACAGAGAGAGCGAGCUAGAGAGGGAGAGUGGCGAGCGAGAGUUAAACUUAGAUAUAGCCAAAUCGAGUCAACAUUAAAAUGAGAGGGAUAACUAUCGAUUAAUUAUUCGAACUUCUUAAUUUAAACAAGAUGAAAUAAUUAUCAAGAGAUAAGUUCAUUACAUACGAUAGAAAAAUAAGUAUACAAAAUUAUAUAAUCCACUAAUUUAAAGGAAAUAAAUAUGUAUUUAUGCUAAACACUAUUUUAGACUAUUUAUUAAAUAUUUAUAUAAAAGAUGAAAAUUAUAUAAACCAAUAUGUAAAAUUAUAUAAUUAUUUCUGAAAAAUAUUAAGAAAAACUAAUUAGAAAGAGAUUAUAAAAUAGAUAUUUUUUAGGAUUUUUCAAAGACGAUUAUUUCAAAUUGUUUAAAAUUGAAGAAGCUCGAUGAUUAAUUUAUAUUGUGGAGGGUAAAACUUGGGUAUCAACAAUAGGUACUUGUAUAAAACGCUUAAGCUUAUUUGUUUGCACUUAAUAGAGGUUUGAAUAUGAAUGAUUCAUAUAUUAGACCAGCCAUUAAGUGCAUUUGUUUUCAUUAAGAUUUAAGCACUUAAUUGGUCUAAAUAUGCCUUAAUCAUUAAGAUCUAGAAUAGAGUCUUAAUAUCAUUGAGAGACAUUCUUGUGUGGCUAAUAUCCACCAUCACUCUAUCCACAAUCACCGUCCAUCACGACUAACCACCCUUUCUAUCAUAACCACCACAAUUAGCAUUACCGUCAUCAACCACCAACCACAUUUGCCAUUACAAUCACCAUUUUUGCUAACCAUUACUGUCAUUUGCUACCAGGCGUACCUCCUCUAUCAUUACCAGCACCAGCCCCGUCUCUAUAGCCGCCUCCACUUCCAGUACCGCUAUCUACCACUACCUUUACUACAAUCAAUUCUACUACCAACAAACUCCGUCAUCACAACUAUCAUCAUCGUCAACUACCACCAUACAUUCUUCGAUCACCAUCACCACCACUGUCAUCUCCACUACUACUAUUAUAAACUACCAUCACUGUGGUCAAUCUUUACUAGUAACCACCUCCGUCAUCAUAACUAGCACAACCGCCAUUUACCACAAAUACAUCAUCAACCACAACACAUUCUUCAACCACAAUCAUCAAGACAACCAACUACUAACAUCAACCAACUUCACCAUUACAACGAUCAACACCACUACCAAUCACUACCAUUAUGAGAACCACCACAACACCAAUCAUCUCCACCAUCGCAACUAUCACCACAUCAUUACUAGUCACUAACAACUAUUACCAUUACCACCACGACUACAAAUUGUCUCCACCAUCACUAGCAAGUAUAAGUGUUUCUUUUUUUUCAUCAAAUAAUGAUUAAAUUUUAUUAAUUUUAAUAUUUAAUUAAUUUUAUUUAAAUUAUAUAUUUAUUAUAUACGUAGAAUUAAAUAAAUUAUGCACAUUCAUAUGUUGAAAAACAAUCAGUCUUAAUCAUCUAGUGUUCAAAUCUAGAAACAAGAUUUUAAUCAUUCGGAUGUGCAUUCAGAUUCAAAAAUCUAAAUCUUAAUGAAAAUCAUGUCUUAAUAAAAGUGUAAGUAAUGAAUUAAUUUGAAUCAAAAUAAAUAAAUAAAAAUAAUAACUUAAAAAUAAAAUCCAUUUAUAAACAUAAAAGGCCUUAAAAAUCGACGGAAAUUUUUCAUCAACCAAUUUUAACUUUUCCUACACAAAGUCACAUAAAACUAACAAAAACAAUAUAAAGUACUACUCCCUCUAUUUCAAAAAGAAUGAUCUCCUUUCUUUUUUAGUUUGUUUAAAAAAGAAUGACCUAUUUCUUUUUUGGUAACAUUUUACUUUCAGCUUUCCACGUGGCAUGUUUAAGACCACAAGAUUAAAGGACAAUUUUGUACAUUUGACAUAACUUUAAUUUAGGACCACAAGAUUCAAAAGUCUUCUUCAUUUUCUUAAACUUCGUGUCAAGUCAAACUAGGUCACUCUUUUUAAAAUAGAAGGAGUAAUAUGCAACAUGUAAAAAGUAAUCAACAUAACAUAACAAAAUAAUAAAAAUAACCAAAUAUUGGUACAAAUCCAUUUAAUUGUGGAUGUUUCUUUUAAUUUAUCCCUAAUGUAAUGUAUCUAUUUAUUAUAUUUAUUAAAUUUGUACUAACAUAUUUGGUUAAAAGAUGUAAACGGGUGUUUUCUAAAUCCCAUAAAAGGGUCUUCUUUACCCUUGUGAAAUACACACUUCAAGAGAUAAAAAAAAUACUAUCUUCUCUAUACUUUUCAUUAUCAUUUGUCUUCCUUUCUUGUUUAGUAUUAUUGUAUUUUGCCUCAUUUUACAACAAAUAUGAAAAACUAACAACAUAACUAGUUCAAAAUUCUAGAACAGUGCCUAUAAUCAAUCCGAAUAAAUUAAGAGAGGAUAUAUAUAUAUACGUUUUUGAGGCGAGUCCCAGGGAGAGUCUCGGGGCGGGGCAUACCAAAAACGCUAUGGGGCGUAAAUUAAAAACGUAGAUCCAUAAGGCAUAAGUCCUAAAAUUUGAGGUGUAAGUCCCGAGCAUAAAAACGUAAGUCCUAGGCAUAAAAACGUACAUCCGGGCGUUUUUAAUUUUUUUUUUUUGCUUUAAACCAUAUUUUUAUUAUUAGUGUAAUGAUAUUUCUCAAAUAGUAAUUAUAAUACUUUUUUUCUUCAUUAUUGAUUAUUGAUACAUAUCUCAAAUAAAAAUCAUAAUAUAAUUUCCAUAUAUUAUAGGUUAUUUAUAAAAAAUUAUUUGUAAAAUCAUUGAAAGGUUUACUUUUCCUUAUUUUAUUAGUAAUAAAACUAUAAAAUUGAAUAUACAUGAGACUACGCCCCGUAGAUCCAUGGGACUUGUGUCUUGGGGUUUACGUCCCGCCCCGUACAGUAUAAAACGUCUCGCCUCACGCCCCCCUUUAUAUAUAUAUAUAUAUAUAUAUAAUAGAGCAACAAACUGACUAAAUAAAACAAACGAAGAUAAAAUACAACAUAGAAAAUGAAAUUAACACACAGUAGCACAAUGCUAUAAACAUAGUAACUAGAAAACAUGGGAGAUUUUGCAAAACGAUAGCAACAACAAUUAAAAAUACGAACAGACCCACCAACAGUGGAGAUUAGGUUGAAGAUGAUGUUUUACAUUGGCUUUGACAGUUUCCAUGAGCACAAUAUUUUGGUGUGGUCCCACACCAACCAUCGUUACUACAACAUUCUCCGGUAGAACAUGAUGUACCAUCACCAACAUUGACUUUGACAAUAUCCAGGAGCACAAUAUUCUUGUGUGUUUCCACACCAACCCCAUAUACUACAACACAUUCCGUCAAGACAUUUUAGGCCAUGACCUUGCUUUCCACAUUGUACCUGGUUUGAGUACUCGCCAAAGAUUGGGAG
This 14835-nucleotide long non-coding RNA is filed under the name Solanum tuberosum (potato). RNAcentral's name for it is "long non-coding RNA (STUB_LNC004166)". The record is from RNAcentral. Lineage: Eukaryota; Viridiplantae; Streptophyta; Magnoliopsida; Solanales; Solanaceae.